AUUGAACGCUGGCGGCAUGCUUUACACAUGCAAGUCGAACGGCAGCGCGGGCUUCGGCCUGGCGGCGAGUGGCGAACGGGUGAGUAAUGCAUCGGAACGUGCCCAGUAGUGGGGGAUAGCCCGGCGAAAGCCGGAUUAAUACCGCAUACGACCUGAGGGUGAAAGCGGGGGACCGAAAGGCCUCGCGCUAUUGGAGCGGCCGAUGUCGGAUUAGCUAGUUGGUGGGGUAAAGGCUUACCAAGGCGACGAUCCGUAGCUGGUCUGAGAGGACGACCAGCCACACUGGGACUGAGACACAGCCCAGACUCCUACGGGAGGCAGCAGUGGGGAAUUUUGGACAAUGGGGGCAACCCUGAUCCAGCCAUGCCGCGUGCGGGAAGAAGGCCUUCGGGUUGUAAACCGCUUUUGUUCGGGAAGAAAUCCUCUGGGCUAAUACCCCGGGGGGGAUGACGGUACCGGAAGAAUAAGCACCGGCUAACUACGUG
RNAcentral lists this ribosomal RNA (485 nucleotides) under uncultured bacterium. Its description in RNAcentral is "partial 16S ribosomal RNA". It matches the Rfam family "Bacterial small subunit ribosomal RNA", at positions 29 to 507 of the family's 1533-position model. The record is from RNAcentral.